GACGAACGCUGGCGGCGUGCUUAACACAUGCAAGUCGAACGGAAAGGCCCUGCUUUUUUGGUGUGCUCGAGUGGCGAUCGGGUGAGUAACACGUGAGUAACCUGCCCUUCACUUUGGGAUAACUUCAGGAAACUGGGGCUAAUACCGUAUAGCAUCUCCUGCUGCAUUGUGGGGGUUGGAAAUUUUCGGCGGUUGGGGUUGGACGCGCGGCUUAUCAGCUUGUUGGUUGGGUAGUGGCUUACCAAGGCUUUGACGGGUCGCCGGCCUGAGAGGGUGACCGGGCACAUGGGGACUGAGAGAGGGAGCAGAGUGGAACGGGAGGCAACAGGGGGGAAUAUUGCACAAUGGGAGGAAGCCUGAUGAAGAAACGCCGCGUGCGGGAUGACGGCCUUCGGGUUGUAAAAAGCAUUCGGCUGUGACGAAGCGUGAGUGACGGUAAUGGGUAAAGAAGCACCGGCUAACUACGUG
RNAcentral lists this ribosomal RNA (468 nucleotides) under uncultured bacterium. RNAcentral describes it as "partial 16S ribosomal RNA". It matches the Rfam family "Bacterial small subunit ribosomal RNA", at positions 28 to 507 of the family's 1533-position model. The record is from RNAcentral.